RNAcentral lists this small RNA (72 nucleotides) under Xanthomonas arboricola pv. zantedeschiae. RNAcentral's name for it is "sX9 sRNA". It matches the Rfam family "Xanthomonas sRNA sX9". Lineage: Bacteria; Pseudomonadati; Pseudomonadota; Gammaproteobacteria; Lysobacterales; Lysobacteraceae. The record is from RNAcentral. RNAcentral also lists the same sequence under 2 other names.
AUGGCCAUGCGUGCACUGUGCUUCUGAGCGCGCCGUCCGCAUCCACCUGAAGGCCGCUACGUUUUGUUAGCC